GAGGACACGCUGGCGGCGUGGAUUAGGCAUGCAAGUCGAACGGUAUCAUCCUUUCGGGGGUGAGAGAGUGGCGAACUGGUGAGUAACACGUAGGUUAUCUACCCUCAAGACGGGGACAACCCAGGGAAACUUGGGCUAAUACCGGAUGUGAGCAACUUUUAGUUGUUUGAAAGGUGGCGUAAGCUGUCGCUUGGGGAUGAGCCUGCGUCCUAUUAGUUAGUUGGUGAGGUAACGGCUCACCUAGGCAAUGAUAGGUAGGCGGCCUUAACGGGUGGUCGCCCACACUGGGAUUGAGAUACGGCCCAGACUCCUACGGGAGGCAGCAGUCGAGAAUAGUCUACAAUGGUCGGAAGACUGAUAGUGCGACGCCGCGUGAACGAUGAAUCCCUUCGGGGUGUAAAGUUCUUUUAUAUGUGAGCAGUGCUUCUUAUAUUAACAGUACGGGAGAGAGAUAUUAGCAUAUGAAUAAGCAACGGCUAACUCCGUG
RNAcentral lists this ribosomal RNA (487 nucleotides) under uncultured bacterium. Its description in RNAcentral is "bacterial SSU rRNA". It matches the Rfam family "Bacterial small subunit ribosomal RNA", at positions 33 to 507 of the family's 1533-position model. The record is from RNAcentral.